AGUGAACGCUGGCGGUAGGCCUAACACAUGCAAGUCGAACGGCAGCACAGUAAGAGCUUGCUCUUACGGGUGGCGAGUGGCGGACGGGUGAGGAAUACAUCGGAAUCUACUUUUUCGUGGGGGAUAACGUAGGGAAACUUACGCUAAAACCGCAUACGACCUACGGGUGAAAGCAGGGGAUCUUCGGACCUUGCGCGAUUGAAUGAGCCGAUGUCGGAUUAGCUAGUUGGCGGGGUAAAGGCCUACCAAGGCGACGAUCCGUAGCUGGUCUGAGAGGAUGAUCAGCCACACUGGAACUGAGACACGGUCCAGACUCCUACGGGAGGCAGCAGUGGGGAAUAUUGGACAAUGGGCGCAAGCCUGAUCCAGCCAUACCGCGUGGGUGAAGAAGGCCUUCGGGUUGUAAAGCCCUUUUGUUGGGAAAGAAAAGCAGCAGGUUAAUACCCCGCUGUUCUGACGGUACCCAAAGAAUAAGCACCGGCUAACUUCGUG
RNAcentral lists this ribosomal RNA (492 nucleotides) under uncultured bacterium. RNAcentral's name for it is "partial 16S ribosomal RNA". It matches the Rfam family "Bacterial small subunit ribosomal RNA", at positions 29 to 507 of the family's 1533-position model. The record is from RNAcentral.